Molecule: non-coding RNA, 148 nt
Filed under: Homo sapiens (human)
Lineage: Eukaryota; Metazoa; Chordata; Mammalia; Primates; Hominidae
Source: Rfam by way of RNAcentral
GCCAGGCGUGGUGGCACAUGCCUGUAAUCCCAGCUACUCAGGAGGCUGAGGCAGGAGAAUCGCUUGAACCCAGGAGGUGGAGGUUGCAGUGAGCCGAGAUGGCACCACUGCACUCCAGCCUGGGUGACAGAGUGAGACUCUGUCUCAA